Molecule: ribosomal RNA, 328 nt
Filed under: uncultured eukaryote
Lineage: Eukaryota
Description: partial 18S ribosomal RNA
Rfam family: Eukaryotic small subunit ribosomal RNA
Source: RNAcentral
CCCUUAGAUGUCCUGGGCCGCACGCGCGCUACACUGAUGCAUGCAACGAGUUUAUAACCUUGGCCUGAAAGGUCUGGGUAAUCUUUUGAACGUGCAUCGUGAUAGGGAUAGAUUAUUGCAAUUGUUAAUCUUGAACGAGGAAUUCCUAGUAAACGCGAGUCAUCAGCUCGCAUUGAUUACGUCCCUGCCCUUUGUACACACCGCCCGUCGCACCUACCGAUUGAAUGGUUCGGUGAAGAUCUCGGACUUCGAUAUUUAUUCUUUAUUGAGUUUAUAUUGUAGGAAGUUAUCUAAACCUCAUCAUUUAGAGGAAGGUGAAGUCGUAACA